AUGGCUAAUUCUGAGACGAAAGAAAGGUCUAAAACCAAAGUUGGGAAAGGCAGAAGGAGGAGAUGGAUUUGGGAGACAAGGCAACAACAGAACCUAACAGCAUGCUGUGCAGAGGAUGAACAGGAGACACAAAUACUGAAGUUCAACUGUAAGUGGCUGAAAGAAUGCUACAAAUUAUUCAAUAAAAACAGGAGAGAGGAGGAAAUGUCUACAAAAAAAUUAAUAUUAGGUUUGUAGGUAAAAGACCUCUGGCACACCAAGUGGCUUCUGAGCCUGAAGUCUUCCAAUUCGGGGAUAACUAGCUACACCAUGGCUUGAGCUCAGAUCUUGUGACAUUUAUGGUCUGUGCCACUCCCAUAAUAUCACGUUGCCUAGAGUCAGAG
Molecule: long non-coding RNA, 383 nt
Filed under: Pongo abelii (Sumatran orangutan)
Lineage: Eukaryota; Metazoa; Chordata; Mammalia; Primates; Hominidae
Description: lncRNA (ENSPPYG00000033785.1)
Source: RNAcentral